UGCCGAGCAUGCCAAACCGUCGAGAAAGAGCCGGCACCGAUUUGCUUCCCAACAACAUAGUCCCCAACUACAGACCUCCCUCCUCUGCUCAUCGAUUGAGCCAUCUCCACAAAAACCCUAACGGAAUUUUCCACCACCAAACACGGCCUUAUCGGAGAGGUCCACCACCAAACACGGCCUUACCAGAGAAGAAGGUCCACAGCGGUCAAAUUCAAUUAAAAGUUGAGAUUAAGGGAGAUUUAUUUGAGCUCUA
RNAcentral lists this unclassified non-coding RNA (253 nucleotides) under Hevea brasiliensis (rubber tree). The record is from RNAcentral. Lineage: Eukaryota; Viridiplantae; Streptophyta; Magnoliopsida; Malpighiales; Euphorbiaceae.